RNAcentral lists this transfer RNA (80 nucleotides) under Nitrososphaerota archaeon. RNAcentral describes it as "Thaumarchaeota archaeon tRNA-Asp". It matches the Rfam family "tRNA". Rfam says of the family: Transfer RNA (tRNA) molecules are approximately 80 nucleotides in length. Their secondary structure includes four short double-helical elements and three loops (D, anti-codon, and T loops). Further hydrogen bonds mediate the characteristic L-shaped molecular structure. tRNAs have two regions of fundamental functional importance: the anti-codon, which is responsible for specific mRNA codon recognition, and the 3' end, to which the tRNAs corresponding amino acid is attached (by aminoacyl-tRNA synthetases). tRNAs cope with the degeneracy of the genetic code in two manners: having more than one tRNA (with a specific anti-codon) for a particular amino acid; and 'wobble' base-pairing, i.e. permitting non-standard base-pairing at the 3rd anti-codon position. Lineage: Archaea; Thermoproteati; Nitrososphaerota. The record is from RNAcentral.
GCCCUGGUAGUAUAGAGGUCAGUAUGCUGCCCUGUCAAGGCAGAGCGGCGGCGACCCGGGUUCGAAUCCCGGCCAGGGCG